Molecule: unclassified non-coding RNA, 308 nt
Filed under: uncultured Junghuhnia
Lineage: Eukaryota; Fungi; Basidiomycota; Agaricomycetes; Polyporales; Steccherinaceae
Description: sequence contains ITS2
Source: RNAcentral
AACGCACCUUCGCUCCUUGGUAUUCCGAGGAGCAUGCCUGUUUGAGUGUCAUGGUAUUCUCAACCCUCCUGUGAUUUCUUUUUAAAGAUUGCAGCUGGGCUUGGACUUGGAGGUUUAUUGCUGGCAUCCUUUGUUGGAUGUGGGCUCCUCUGAAAAGCAUUAGCUGGAAUAUUGCCGAGCAUGAUUCAAUGUGAUAAUUGUCUACGUUGCUUCAACUUGGUGUUAAUUCUGUUCUAGCUUCUAAACGUCCUCUGGACAAUAUCUGAACAUCUGACCUCAAAUCAGGUAGGACUACCCGCUGAACUUAA